AUUGAACGCUGGCGGCAUGCUUUACACAUGCAAGUCGAACGGUAGAGGGGGCAACCCCUUGAGAGUGGCGAACGGGUGAGUAAUGCAUCGGAACGUGCCCAGUCGUGGGGGAUAACGCAGCGAAAGCUGUGCUAAUACCGCAUACGAUCUCUGGAUGAAAGCGGGGGACCGAAAGGCCUCGCGCGAUUGGGGCGGCCGAUGUCAGAUUAGGUAGUUGGUGGGGUAAAGGCUCACCAAGCCAACGAUCUGUAGCUGGUCUGAGAGGACGACCAGCCACGCUGGGACUGAGACACGGCCCAGACUCCUACGGGAGGCAGCAGUGGGGAAUUUUGGACAAUGGGCGCAUGCCUGAUCCAGCAAUGCCGCGUGCAGGAAGAAGGCCUUCGGGUUGUAAACUGCUUUUGUACGGAACGAAAAGGUCUGGGUUAAUACCCUGGGCACAUGACGGUACCGUAAGAAUAAGCACCGGCUAACUACGUGCCAGCAGCCGCCGUAA
RNAcentral lists this ribosomal RNA (496 nucleotides) under uncultured bacterium. RNAcentral's name for it is "partial 16S ribosomal RNA". It matches the Rfam family "Bacterial small subunit ribosomal RNA", at positions 30 to 523 of the family's 1533-position model. The record is from RNAcentral.